This 240-nucleotide unclassified non-coding RNA is filed under the name soil metagenome. Its description in RNAcentral is "partial contains 5.8S ribosomal RNA, internal transcribed spacer 2, and large subunit ribosomal RNA". The record is from RNAcentral.
AAGACUAUAGACCUGCGGAGUACCUGCGGAGGGAUCAUUACAGAGUGAUUUGGAGCGGGCCCGCUUCGGCGGAGUGCGCGCAAGUUACCCGUCCUUUGUGUCAUCUGCACGGGCCCACAUUUUGCGGCGACAGUUAAUCGCGGCGAGAGGCGGGCACGAGGCCAUAUUUCCGUCGAGGUGGUGUGUCGUCCCCCCGGGCGGAGUAACGUCUGUGGUGGGAGGGGGACAUGCCCGCGGCGG